This 374-nucleotide ribosomal RNA is filed under the name uncultured bacterium. Its description in RNAcentral is "bacterial SSU rRNA". It matches the Rfam family "Bacterial small subunit ribosomal RNA", at positions 523 to 898 of the family's 1533-position model. The record is from RNAcentral.
AUACGUAGGGGGCAAGCGUUAUCCGGAAUUAUUGGGCGUAAAGAGUGCGUAGGUGGUUUUGUAAGCGCGGGGUGAAAGGCUAUGGCUCAACCAUAGUAAGCCUUGCGAACUGUGAGACUUGAGUGCAGGAGAGGAAAGUGGAAUUCCUAGUGUAGCGGUGAAAUGCGUAGAUAUUAGGAGGAACACCAGUGGCGAAGGCGACUUUCUGGACUGUAACUGACACUGAGGCACGAAAGCGUGGGGAGCAAACAGGAUUAGAUACCCUGGUAGUCCACGCCGUAAACGAUGAGCACUAGGUGUCGGGGUCGCAAGGCUUCGGUGCCGCAGUUAACGCAUUAAGUGCUCCGCCUGGGGAGUACGCACGCAAGUGUAAA